Molecule: ribosomal RNA, 1541 nt
Filed under: Candidatus Shikimatogenerans bostrichidophilus
Lineage: Bacteria; Pseudomonadati; Bacteroidota; Flavobacteriia; Flavobacteriales
Description: bacterial SSU rRNA
Rfam family: Bacterial small subunit ribosomal RNA
Source: RNAcentral
UUAUUUAAGAGUUUGAUCCUGGCUCAGGAUAAACGCUAGCGGCAAGCUUAACACAUGCAAGUCGAGGGGUAAUAUAUAAAAUAAAUUUUAUAUUUAUUUUAUAUAACGACCGGCGAACGGGUGAGUAAUACUUAUGUAAUUUACCUUUUGUUAAAGGAUACUCUAAAUAACUUUAGAUUAAUACUUUAUAAAAUUAAUUAUUAAUAGGAUAAUUAAUAAAAGAUAAUAAAAUAUCGACGAAAGAUAAGCAUUUGUCUGAUUAGCUAGUUGGUAGGAUAAUAGCCUACCAAGGCUUUGAUCAGUAGGGGGCCUUAGUGGGUGUACCCCCACAUUGGUACUGAGACACGGACCAAACUCCUACGGGAGGCAGCAGUGAGGAAUAUUGGUCAAUGGAGGAAACUCUGAACCAGCUAUGCCGCGUGUAGGAAUACAGCCUAUGGGUUGUAAACUACUUUUGUAUAAGAAUAAAAAAUUUUUUUAAAUAAAAAUAUAUUGAAUGUAUUAUACGAAUAAGUAUCGGCUAACUCCGUGCCAGCAGCCGCGGUAAUACGGAGGAUACAAGCGUUAUCCGGAAUUAUUGGGUUUAAAGGGUGCGUAGGUUGGAUAUUAAGUUAAUUAUGAAAUCUUAUAACUUAAUUAUAAAAGUGUAAUUAAUACUAUUAUCCUAGAGUAUAAAUGGAGUAAUUGGAAUAUGUGGAGUAGCGGUAAAAUGCUUAGAUAUCACAUAGAACACCGAAAGCGUAGGCAGAUUACUAAUUUAAUACUGACACUGAGGCACGAAAGCGUGGGGAGCAAACAGGAUUAGAUACCCUGGUAGUCCACGCUGUAAACGAUGAUUACUAAUAAUUAGAUUUUAAAUUAAUUUAGUUAUUAAGCGAAAGUGAUAAGUAAUCCACCUGGGGAGUACGAUCGCAAGAUUGAAACUCAAAGGAAUUGACGGGGACCCGCACAAGCGGUGGAGCAUGUGGUUUAAUUCGAUAAUACGCGAGGAAUCUUACCAAGGUUUAAAUGUAUUAUGAAUAAUUUAGAAAUAAAUUAGUCUUCGGACAUAAUACAAGGUGCUGCAUGGUUGUCGUCAGCUCGUGCUGUGAAGUGUUAGGUUAAGUCCUUUAACGAGCGCAACCCUUAUCAUUAGUUACUAACAAGUAAUGUUGAGAUGUCUAAUGAGACAGCUAACGUAAGUUUAGAGGAAGGAGAGGAUGACGUCAAAUCAUCAUGGCUCUUACAUCUUGGGCUACACACGUGCUACAAUGGUUAAUACAAUAAGUUGCAAAUAGGUAACUAUAAGCUAAUCUUUAAAAUUAACCUUAGUUCGGAUUGAAGUCUGUAACUCGACUUUAUGAAGUUGGAAUCGCUAGUAAUCGCGCAUCAGCAAUGGCGCGGUGAAUACGUACUCGGGUCUUGUACACACCGCCCGUCAAGCCAUGGAAAUUAAUAUUAUUUGAAAUUAAUAUUUAAUAUUAAUUAGAAUAGUAUUAAUAACUAGGGCUAAGUCGUAACAAGGUAGCCGUAUCGGAAGAUGUGGCUGGAAAAUCUCUGUU